This is a long non-coding RNA of Dermacentor albipictus, 721 nucleotides long. RefSeq lists it as uncharacterized. The record is from RefSeq and is a predicted model, not a curated record. NCBI's taxonomy places the organism in Eukaryota, Metazoa, Arthropoda, Arachnida, Ixodida, Ixodidae.
GGGGCACUCCUGCGAGGCUGGGCACGCGCUCGCCACCGUCCUUUUCGAAGCGCCCAGCCAGCCGCGGGGGUACGUGGCCAGCGCGCUCCGAAGUGCACCGAGUUAUUUCGGCCCCGGAGAAAGGGCGGCUCGCUGGUGAGACGUCCCGGUUGCCAAUUCGGCUCAUUUAGGAGAACAUCGACCACCUGCUGUGCCACUGUCCACGAUACACCCCUGAGAGACAAGAACUUGCCAAAGCCUUUCAAAAACUGGACAAUCGGCCGCUUUCUGUGCAGGUGCUGUUGGAACAGCGCCCCCAUCGCCCGUCGGCCCAUAAAGCGGUGAAGGCACUUUUGUGCUACUUAAGGACGACGGGCUUGUGCGACCAUCUGUGACUAUUAAUGAAAUUUCUGUAAGCCCACACACGUCAGCGAACUCACCGCAAUUUCCUUCUUUCCUUCCCUCCUCUCUUUCCCUGUUAUCUUUGUUAUCCCCUUUCCCAUUCCCCCGGUGUAGGGUAGCAAACCGGACGUUAUUCUGGUUAACCUCCCUGCCUUCUCCUUAUCUCUUUCCUCCCCCCUAGGAGUGGUACAUUUACUUUCUUUAACGCAUCGGUUUUGUCUUUUCUCUACACGUGAGUCGCUUCCCGGUAUGUUUAUUUCGCUUUUAUUUUUUGCCACGAACCUGCUUUUGCAGCACGUAUAGACUCUAAUGAAAAAUAAAACCGUCAGUUUAAUUUGGA